UACGUAGGGUGCAAGCGUUAAUCGGAAUUACUGGGCGUAAAGCGUGCGCAGGCGGUUGUGCAAGACCGAUGUGAAAUCCCCGGGCUUAACCUGGGAAUGGCAUUGGUGACUGCACGGCUAGAGUGUGUCAGAGGGGGGUAGAAUUCCACGUGUAGCAGUGAAAUGCGUAGAGAUGUGGAGGAAUACCGAUGGCGAAGGCAGCCCCCUGGGCUAACACUGACGCUCAUGCACGAAAGCGUGGGGAGCAAACAGG
RNAcentral lists this ribosomal RNA (253 nucleotides) under uncultured bacterium. Its description in RNAcentral is "partial 16S ribosomal RNA". It matches the Rfam family "Bacterial small subunit ribosomal RNA", at positions 524 to 776 of the family's 1533-position model. The record is from RNAcentral.